This 30-nucleotide small RNA is filed under the name Bombyx mori (domestic silkworm). Its description in RNAcentral is "ovarian small RNA-15199". Lineage: Eukaryota; Metazoa; Arthropoda; Insecta; Lepidoptera; Bombycidae. The record is from RNAcentral.
GAACUGGCGAUUUUCGCAUCUCACCGCUGC